CUUGGAACAUUAUAAAGGUAGACUAAAAUACAUUUCCAUGCAUUUAACCCAGAAAUGUCAAUUACCUCUGAUAGAAGUGGUUGAUUCAAUGAAAAUGCAAUACGUGGACACCUGGAUGUCACCCAUCUGCUUCCAAAAUUAUGGGCAUUGAUAUGAUGUUGGUCGUCCUUUUGCUGAUUUACAGCCUCCGGUCUUCCAAGCCUUUCCACUAAAACAUAGCUGCAGUGGUUUGCACCUGGCUCACAGUCGACGAUGUUCCAAAUCAUCCCAACACUGUUCGAUGGAGUUGAGGUAAAGGCUCUGCAGGCCAGUAAACAAGCGGUUUUUUGCAUGCUGGGAACCUAAUCAAAUUGUUAAAAGGAGCCAUUAAUUUGGAUCCAUGAUUCCCAAACUUUUUUUUUGACCUCAAAGGAAAAAUUAUUUGCAAAUGCUUACAAACAUUAUUCACUAAAAUUUUAUAUCUGCACUGCAGAAACAACAAAUAGUAGUGAGCACAUUUAACAAUUAGGACAGGAAAUACGUAACCUAUUUGAAUGUGCAUUUCACACACAUGUAACAUCAUUUUAGAGGUACUUAGCUUCCAAAGGGGGUUUGCAACUUGGCAGUGAGUGUUGCCAUGGAGGCAAAUUCAAAAACAGAGUAACAACGCCGAGUGCUGUGGCUGCCUCCGGAGAAGGACGUGAGGAUCCCUCAGCUUGCUUCGGCCUGCUUCGUCACAAACUUGUGUGGUUAGUCUCACGACGCCACACCUCCAAUCUCAUCUGGCCUCCUUGGCGGUGUGGAAACUUGCGUAUUUAAAAAAAGUUAGAUUUAGAUUGGAUAUUACAUGAAUGAAUCUGAUGAGGGAAGCCUGAUGAGCCUGGCUUGUGUCCUGUCAAGUUACUGAUUCCACUGGUCUUAUGCUCACUUUUGACCUGUUCCCCCCGGGACCUACCCAGCUUUGCAUGUUCUCUUGGAUUAUUCUCGAGAGUCUCCCCUCCUUAUCCAUCAUUGUUCCAAGAUUAGUAAACAAAAAAAACUCUCAUUAAGAAUUGUUUGAAUGUCGUCUCAAUGUCAAGUAAACAUUGGUAAUUGUAACAGAUUGUUUAAAUGAUGGAUGACCACAAAAUGAUCUGUAGGAUUAAAUCAUUUCCCCUCAUCUGUAGAGUAUAAUAAGAUUUUUUGUAGAUCCCUCAAGAUAAGAGGAUUAUAGGUGAG
Molecule: long non-coding RNA, 1197 nt
Organism: Esox lucius (northern pike)
Lineage: Eukaryota; Metazoa; Chordata; Actinopteri; Esociformes; Esocidae
Source: Ensembl